CAGGAGUGAAGCUGCUCUCUGAUGGGCUGAAGGAUCCACACUGUACACUGGAGAUACUGUGUCUGUGUGGGUGUAAUCUGACUGAGGAAAGUUGUAGAGUUCUGUCCUCAGUUCUCAGCUCAAACUCCUCCAGUCUGAGAGAACUGAACCUCAGAAUUCACUCAGGAUUCAGGAGUGAAGCUGCUCUCUGAUGGACAGAAGGAUCCACACUGUACACUGGAGAUACUGAGAUUGUUCAGAAUUCAGCAGCGAGGCUUUUAACUGGAACCAGCAGAAGAUCUCACAUCACACCAGUUUUAUACUCUCUUCACUGGUUACCAAUCAAAUAUAGAAUUGAUUUUAAAAUUUUGGUCCUCACUUAUAGAGCCCUUCAUGGGAAUGCUCCUGGGUACAUCACUGACCUGUUGACCCCUUAUGGCUCUUCGAGAGCAUUGAGGUCAUCAGGUCAAAAUCUGCUUGUGGUCCCUAAAACCCAUUUUAAAACUCGGGGGGAUCUUUCUUUUCAGUCUGUGGCCCCCAGAUUGUGGAAUGCGUUGCCCCCGUCUCUGCGUGUGGCUGAUUCUGCUGAUUCCUUUAAAAAGCAACUGAAGACACUCUUAUUUAGACAAGCUUUUAGCUGAUUGGGCUUUUAUGGUUUCAUCCCUGUUGUUUUAUAAUUGUAGUUUUAUCAUCUCUAUAAAUUUUUCUUUUUACUUUGUAAGAUUGUUUUAUUGUACUUUUAAGUUUUAUUGUUAUAUUUUGUAAAGCACUUUGUGAUUUUAUCUGUGAAAUAAAGCUAUAUAAAUAAACC
This is a long non-coding RNA of Tachysurus fulvidraco (yellow catfish), 790 nucleotides long. RefSeq lists it as uncharacterized. The transcript has 3 exons. The record is from RefSeq and is a predicted model, not a curated record. Lineage: Eukaryota; Metazoa; Chordata; Actinopteri; Siluriformes; Bagridae.